CAGGACGAACGCUGGCGGCAUGCCUAACACAUGCAAGUCGAACGGGGGUAGCAAUACCCUAGUGGCGAACGGGUGAGUAACACAUAAGCAAUCUGCCCUUCGACAGGGGGAUAACAGCGGGAAACUGCUGCUAAUACCGCAUAAGACCACGGUACCGCAUGGUACAGGGGUAAAAACGAAUCAGUGGUGAAGGAUGAGCUUAUGUCCCAUUAGCUAGUUGGUGAGAUGACAGCCCACCAAGGCGACGAUGGGUAGCCGACCUGAGAGGGUGAUCGGCCACACUGGAACUGAGACACGGUCCAGACUCCUACGGGAGGCAGCAGUGGGGAAUAUUGGGCAAUGGAGGAAAAAACCUCUUACCCAGCAAUGCCGCGUGAGUGAAGAAGGUCUUCGGAUUGUAAAGCUCUUUGAUUGGGGACGAAGAAAGUGACGGUACCCAAAGAACAAGCCCCGGCUAACUACGUGCCAGCCGCAGC
Molecule: ribosomal RNA, 476 nt
Filed under: uncultured bacterium
Lineage: Bacteria
Description: bacterial SSU rRNA
Rfam family: Bacterial small subunit ribosomal RNA
Source: RNAcentral